Felis catus (domestic cat) is the source of this 4132-nucleotide long non-coding RNA. RefSeq lists it as uncharacterized. The transcript is spliced from 9 exons. Lineage: Eukaryota; Metazoa; Chordata; Mammalia; Carnivora; Felidae. The record is from RefSeq and is a predicted model, not a curated record.
GGAGGUGCUCUGACGUGGAGGCGGGGGGAUGGGCUCUUCCGGAGAGUGCACCCCUCCCUGGUUGUGAGUUCCAGAAAGCUGGGCCUCGCCCUGCCCUCAGGAGGCACACAGCCCGAGGAAAGGUGACUGGGAAACCAAGUCAGUGGGGUUUAGAGCUGCCGUGGAGAGGAAAGCGAUGCCCACACUUCCCCAAACUUUGAAGACGAGAUUUGGGGCCUGCGGUAGGGAGGUUCCAUGUUGAGAAGGGAUGGUCCCUGUAAGCAAGGUGCUGUGCUUUGGUGAUCUGGGUAAUUGCUGCCCCAAGGACAGUCAGGUCCUUGAUUGCCUCGCGUCAACAUCGCAAGACCUGGGCCUCUUGCCCUGUGGCUUCCUGCGAACCUGCUGGCAACCUCACAGGGAUUCACUAUCCUAAGUAUGCUUAGCAGAAGGGAGAAUAAUAGGGAUAAGUUUGUCAUAUACUUUACACAGAGCUCUUGAAGGCCCUGACCAGUGGUGAAACUAUUCUGAGUGUGAGGCAGUGUGGCCGGUGGCCCAGCAAGCAGGUCAGAGGUAAUCAGGCACCUGAAUCCGGUGAGCCCCAGUGAGCAUCUCACUGGAGCAGACUGUCACCUGUGGAGCACCCCUGUGAACCACCCCUUGGUAUCCACUCGGUGGGAAGUCCCCCCACCUUAGUUGUAGAACGGCACAGUGACUGGCUUUUGCCAAUAAGAUAUAGUAAAAGUACACUGGGCCAGUUCCAGCCUAAGCCUGGAGAAGCCGAGCGGGUUUGGCACUCUGCGGAGCCCUGUGCUACCGUGUAGAAUUUCUCCCUGCUGCGAAAAGCCUCAUGGAGAGGCCACGUGGAAAGGGAGAAACCUCAGCCUCCAUCCGUCCGACCCACUGACUAAAUUCGCAUCAGCAAGACCGCCAGAAGAACCGCUCAGCUGAUCCCAGCAGAGCACAGUGUGGAUUUGUGACAACAGAUUUUGCAGCCAGUACAGAGAAGGAAUUCCUGAAUGGAAACACUAAGUCCAAGUACAAAGUCACAAAGAACUGAACUAGAGAGAAGGGCUGGAUCUGAGCAUCUCUGAGAGGCUUUGAUGGACAUGCGUGUCACCAGCCAUGUCAGCCUUGAACUUGUUUCCAAGGAUCUAUGUUGCUUCCUAAAUAUACUGAAUUCUCCAUUUAUAAAUACUCUCAAGUGGGACAUCUUCAUGGACAGACCUCAUUUCGUCUCACACAAGCUGCUGCCUCUACUUGAAGCCUCUCGCCCCUUUAUUUGGAUGGUAGGUUGGCAGAGAGGAAGAGAAAGUCCAGCAUGGAAACGUAGAGCCUGGAGUGGGACAGUCACACGGCCCUGCUGACAACUUCGGAUUCUGACACUUUCCUUUGGUGAAUAGAAUGGUUUACUUUUCGAAAAUCACAGCACAAAGAGGGGACUCUGGAAAGCAGAUGUAUCCAUGUUGCCGUUAGGUGUCCGGAAGGAGAAAGCACAGGAACUGCCCAAGGAGGCCUCUUCUCUUCUUUGUGCCAUAAUAUCACCAACACUCCUUCCAGAGGAAAGAACCCCAUGCCCAGCAGGAGAAUGAGGUCUUUGUUCAGUCCAGUAAGGGACGUUUACUGAGUGGCCUUUCUGUAGCAUGCAUUUGGUGACGAACAAUUCAUGUAUAGGUAUGUAUCACAAAUACCUUUUUCUUGCUUCUGCCAGGGCCGUGGGAGGUUGGAGUGCAGACCGCUUUAGAUGGGGGGCAGAGUACGUUGGGGAGGACCUGGACCUGGGGAGACAUUAAGUUAGACUCUGAAGGCUGGACGGGAUCUAAACUGAGGAGUUGGAAGAGGGGAACUGAAUACGUGGAAAAACGUACUGUAGAGAGUGAGUGUUAGCACUGGGAAUAGCAAAAUGUCUGGGAACUUGACUGGAUCAGUCUGGAAGGGAGAUUCAUGCAGAAACUGAGUGCAGGAUAAAUCAGAAGUGUGGGUACUGCAGGCAGGAACACCGAGAAGGGAUUGGUUCUGAUCCAUCUAGAGGCUUGAUGGUAAGAAUCUGGGUCAAGACCAUGGCAGUGAGCAUGGAAGAGAGAGGGAGAUGGGGAGAAAAGAUGGCAGACUGGAUGGGGAGACACACGAGGAAGGGCACUCAAAGAAGGAUUUUAGCACUUGAGAAUAAAUCGUACCGACUGUGGAAGAAUGGAGACAAAGGAGACUUGUUGAUGGUGGCCGUGAAGACCCCAAAGGGGAGGAAGAGACAGUGGGUCUCUGGAUGAGCACAUCUACCACAUUUACAAGUCCUGUCCCUCAUGUCACAGGAUGCUGGAAGGUGUACGUUUCUCGAUCUUGAACAAGGGAGAAAGGCUGGACUUCCAUUCAGCAGACAUUGUCAGGUGCUUGGGUGCCCCUCUACCAGGGGAGAGGGGAACACGGUAUGUUCCUUGUUCCUGGUUCCCAGUCCACUGUAGAGGCAGACAUAUUUUAAGUUCUUAAAAAUUCACAGAGCCAACAGCCUGCAGGCCCCUCAGCCUUUGGGUACCAUCAACGAUACAUAACGUGGCAGCCAGUUCCACUGCGCCUGUAGGAAGCACUCAACCAGACUGGGGGAGAGCCCGAGGAGACCGGUCCCGAGAGAAGAGAGCUGAGUGGCAAGGGCCACCUUGCUCUGAGCCCUACACUGCAGUCUCAGCAAAGAUGGACUCAGCAGAUAGCUAUGUGAGGGUCCCCACCUCCUGUUUCCUCUGAGAAGCAGCCAGCCUUACAAACCAACACGUACCCUGUCCCCGCACACCUACCACGCACACUCUUGGGAACGGCAAGGAGGCAAUAGACGGAGACCAACUCGGUUGACCAGACUGAAUUUCCCAGGUACCAGGGCCAUGAGGCAGACAGAGGCUUGGUGGUCAGGAGCAGCAGGGGCAGUACGAGAAGCGGGGACCAGGGACAGGCUGGGACUGCAGAGAUCUGGGAGAUGCCCGCGGCAGAUGCAGGGGAGAGCAGGUUGUGGGGAUGGUGGCCUUCCAACCAGCGCCAGUGUGGACAGAGGCCAACUGACGAGAUGCCUUCUUCUCAUGGAUACUGGACGCACUGAGAUGAUCCCUGCCGCCACCACAGAAGAAAGAAGGCGUCCCUAAACUACAGCAAAGCCCGAUUUAUCUACCAUGAACGGAGAUGAACUUCACACCACAAGACCUGAGUCUGUGCACGUGGACCGCUGCAGUGUGGUAUGCCAAAGGCAGACAGAGCCCCGGGUGCCUUCUAGGACAGGGAGCCGUGCUCUGGAGCUCGGCAGUCACCUCUGCGACUGUGAUGAUGUCUCCCUGUUUCAGUUGCUCGACAGGAUACCGUGGGAUGUGGAGGUCGGCACAACAUAGCCCAGGAUGGAUGAAGCCGACUGCUGCAAGAUGGUCACAAGUUCGGAUCCUGUCCCUGCAUCCUCCACUCUGUGUUCCCUGAGGGCCGACAAGGCUGCAGGACACGUGUCAGGCCCAGGCCCCGCCACUGGGUGGUCCCAUUUCUCCUGAGACUCCCUCUCAGACUCUCUAACAUCCCUUCCCUCCUCCCAGCUGGCAGGACCCAACCAUGACCCCUCACACCUCACUGAGGUGUGGAAACUCUCCUCCAUUCUUAGGGGGCCAGAAUUCGCUACAAGGGAGUCUUUUGUAAGAGCGAACAUUUAUUCAGUCAACAAACCUGGGCUGUCUGCCAGGGCCGGACACGGCUGGUCGUCAGGACACAGAGAACACAUGAUCAGUCAACGUGAAACAGCAUGACGCCAGCCUGCGCCUGGUAUUCCCAGAUGUCCUUGACUAAGUGACAAUUUACACAGUGUUUCAUUAGAUGCCUAUUAAGAGAAGCACAGCUGAUGCCAUAAACCAAAGCCACCCCCAGAAUGGGAGGGCUGAUUAAGCAGAGGCCGUGGAAACAGGUCCAAGUUGCCGGGCAGGUCCUGGAGCUGCGCCCAGGCAGCGGGGACGGCUCUCGGCAGUGCACUCGAUGGCCGGAAAGCCUUGCUAGGGUCCAGAACCUCACUUCUACCCCGCUCCCUUCUCUUCUGUUCCUAAAGAAUGAACCCAGCCAACGACCGAGUGUGGAGUGUGAGCCCCAGGCAGGGACAGGGGGGAACCCUAACGUCACCUGCAGAGAGAAGCCCCGAGCAGGCAGG